This 407-nucleotide ribosomal RNA is filed under the name uncultured bacterium. Its description in RNAcentral is "bacterial SSU rRNA". It matches the Rfam family "Bacterial small subunit ribosomal RNA", at positions 391 to 795 of the family's 1533-position model. The record is from RNAcentral.
GCCAAGUAGCGUGAAGGAUGACUGCCCUAUGGGUUGUAAACUUCUUUUAUAAAGGAAUAAAGUCGGGUAUGGAUACCCGUUUGCAUGUACUUUAUGAAUAAGGAUCGGCUAACUCCGUGCCAGCAGCCGCGGUAAUACGGAGGAUCCGAGCGUUAUCCGGAUUUAUUGGGUUUAAAGGGAGCGUAGAUGGAUGUUUAAGUCAGUUGUGAAAGUUUGCGGCUCAACCGUAAAAUUGCAGUUGAUACUGGAUAUCUUGAGUGCAGUUGAGGCAGGCGGAAUUCGUGGUGUAGCGGUGAAAUGCUUAGAUAUCACGAAGAACUCCGAUUGCGAAGGCAGCCUGCUAAGCUGCAACUGACAUUGAGGCUCGAAAGUGUGGGUAUCAAACAGGAUUAGAUACCCUGGUAGUC